This 1484-nucleotide long non-coding RNA is filed under the name Oryctolagus cuniculus (rabbit). RNAcentral's name for it is "lncRNA (ENSOCUG00000039065.1)". Lineage: Eukaryota; Metazoa; Chordata; Mammalia; Lagomorpha; Leporidae. The record is from RNAcentral.
UCCUUCGCGCCCCGAUUGGCCGGCCGCGCCAUUGUGACGUCACGGUCAGCCCACGUUCUGAUUGUAGAUACCCGGCGCCUUCCUCUUCCCAUCGCGGCGGAUCCUCGCUCGCGGCGCCUCCCUCCGACAUCCUCCCAGGCUCUGCUGGCCACCGGCGCUCCGCUACCGCCGCCGCGUCGCUGCUGCUGCCCUUGGGGCCAGGAGUGUCCCCUUACCGCAGGUGCAGGAGGGUGCACACGGAUCUCCUCUGUCAUUGGCACUGUUCUAUUGGCAAAGGAAUGUGCUUCCAAACUGGGAAAGGAAGGCAUGCGUGGACAAGUGGAAGGUCACUCUGAUUCCUACUUUGAAGGCAGGUGCUGUCAUUUUCUUCCUUUUCUCAUUCGUCCAUUCAUUCAUUUCCUCAUCCUUCCCCAGCCCCCCCGUGUACAGAUGUGUGCAUACAAACACUCACGCAUUUAGGGAGAGGUUAAUAAUUGAAUGCAUGGCAUUUACAUUCGGUAGUGUCUAAUGUGACUUAGUCACAGGAAACUGGCUUCUCUUGUUAUUUAUGAUUUCGAAUUUGAGUCUGUGGUGAGUAAGUUUCCAGGAGUAGUAUCCUCAUUUGAACUGAAGGUUAGUGUCAUUCUAGGGCUAUAGGAUACUCAGCUUGAUGCCCACACUGUAAUGUGAAAAUCAGCUCACCCCUGUUUGGCUGGUUGUGUUGAAUUUCUCUUACUGCCACACUAUAUAUGAUUUAAUGAGUUAGUAGGGAGCCAGAACGAACUUAAUUACUUCAUAGGUUACUUCUAAUGAUAAUUAUUAUUUUUUUUAUUUUAUUCAUUUUUGUUAGCAGUUUCAGAAAAGCCCAUUUUAACUAACUGAGGCUUUGGAAUAUCUGUUCAUUGUUUAAAAUUGUGUACUCCAGGUUUAACUGCUAAUGUUGAGUAUAAACAUUCCUUUUUUUUUUUUUUAAGAUUUAUUUAUUUAUUUGAAAGAAAUUACAGAGAGGCAGAGGCCGAGAGAGAGAGAAGUCAUCUAUCUGCUGGCUCACCCCUUAAAAGGCUGCCACAGCCAGAGCUGGGCCAACCCAAAGCUGGGAGCCAGGAGCCUCUACCGGGCCUCCCAUGCAGGCACAGGGGCCCAAAGACUUGGGCUGUCCUCCACAGACUUCCUAGGCCAUAGCAGAGAGCCAGAUUGGAAGAGGAGCAGCCAGGACUCAAACCAGUGGCCAUGUGGUAUGCUGGCACUGCAGGCAGCGGCUUAACCUGCUGUGCCACACACAGCAUAGGCCCCUAAACAUUCCUUUUUUUUUUUCCAGGUAUAUGAUACUUCAAAGGUUUGUGGGAAAAUUAAAAUUAAAAUAUAAGGAAAAAAGUUUGAAAUACAUACGUAGCUUUUUUUGUGGUAUGCAUUUUACAUGAACUUUUCGCAAAGAUUCCUCAUAUGCAUGGGAGCUUCAAAUUUUUUUGCACCAAAAUAAACUUAAUUUUUAAUUUUAUAUUCCA